AUACUUACCUGGACGGGAUCUUUACGGGUGAUCAUGAAUGCCUGUGGUCUACACUGGAGAUCUUCAUUGCACUUUGAAGGGGCUCUGGUCUACCAUCUGCCCAAGUGAUAGAGUGGACGUCAUAAUUUGUGGCAGGAGUUCGCGUCCGCGCGGCCCCUAU
This is a small nuclear RNA of Dendrobium catenatum, 160 nucleotides long. RefSeq annotates it as U1 spliceosomal RNA. The transcript has a single exon. Lineage: Eukaryota; Viridiplantae; Streptophyta; Magnoliopsida; Asparagales; Orchidaceae. The record is from RefSeq and is a predicted model, not a curated record.